GAUGAACGCUAGCUACAGGCCUAACACAUGCAAGUCGAGGGGUAGCAUGAUAAAAGCUUGCUUUUAUUGAUGACGACCGGCGCACGGGUGCGUAACACGUAUCGAAUCUGCCUCACACUCGGGCAUAGCCUUCCGAAAGGAAGAUUAAUUCCCGAUAUGCCAAUGAAUCGCAUGGUUCGUUGGUGAAAGUUUUGUCGGUGUGAGAUGACGAUGCGUUCCAUUAGCUUGUUAGUGAGGUAACGGCUCACCAAGGCUUCGAUGGAUAGAGGUUCUGAGAGGAAGGUCCCCCACACUGGUACUGAGACACGGACCAGACUCCUACGGGAGGCAGCAGUGAGGAAUAUUGGUCAAUGGACGCAAGUCUGAACCAGCCAAGUCGCGUGAAGGAUGAAGGUAUUAUGUAUUGUAAACUUCUUUUAUCAGGGAAUAAUGGUCGCUACGUGUAGCGAAGAGGAAUGUACCUGAUGAAUAAGCAUCGGCUAACUCCGUG
Molecule: ribosomal RNA, 490 nt
Filed under: uncultured bacterium
Lineage: Bacteria
Description: bacterial SSU rRNA
Rfam family: Bacterial small subunit ribosomal RNA
Source: RNAcentral